Molecule: ribosomal RNA, 2904 nt
Filed under: Escherichia coli
Lineage: Bacteria; Pseudomonadati; Pseudomonadota; Gammaproteobacteria; Enterobacterales; Enterobacteriaceae
Description: 23S ribosomal RNA
Rfam family: Bacterial large subunit ribosomal RNA
Source: RNAcentral
GGUUAAGCGACUAAGCGUACACGGUGGAUGCCCUGGCAGUCAGAGGCGAUGAAGGACGUGCUAAUCUGCGAUAAGCGUCGGUAAGGUGAUAUGAACCGUUAUAACCGGCGAUUUCCGAAUGGGGAAACCCAGUGUGAUUCGUCACACUAUCAUUAACUGAAUCCAUAGGUUAAUGAGGCGAACCGGGGGAACUGAAACAUCUAAGUACCCCGAGGAAAAGAAAUCAACCGAGAUUCCCCCAGUAGCGGCGAGCGAACGGGGAGGAGCCCAGAGCCUGAAUCAGUGUGUGUGUUAGUGGAAGCGUCUGGAAAGGCGCGCGAUACAGGGUGACAGCCCCGUACACAAAAAUGCACAUGCUGUGAGCUCGAUGAGUAGGGCGGGACACGUGGUAUCCUGUCUGAAUAUGGGGGGACCAUCCUCCAAGGCUAAAUACUCCUGACUGACCGAUAGUGAACCAGUACCGUGAGGGAAAGGCGAAAAGAACCCCGGCGAGGGAGUGAAAAAGAACCUGAAACCGUGUACGUACAAGCAGUGGGAGCACAGAGCAAUCUGUGUGACUGCGUACCUUUUGUAUAAUGGGUCAGCGACUUAUAUUCUGUAGCAAGGUUAACCGAAUAGGGGAGCCGAAGGGAAACCGAGUCUUAACUGGGCGUUAAGUUGCAGGGUAUAGACCCGAAACCCGGUGAUCUAGCCAUGGGCAGGUUGAAGGUUGGGUAACACUAACUGGAGGACCGAACCGACUAAUGUUGAAAAAUUAGCGGAUGACUUGUGGCUGGGGGUGAAAGGCCAAUCAAACCGGGAGAUAGCUGGUUCUCCCCGAAAGCUAUUUAGGUAGCGCCUCGUGAAUUCAUCUCCGGGGGUAGAGCACUGUUUCGGCAAGGGGUCAUCCCGACUUACCAACCCGAUGCAAACUGCGAAUACCGGAGAAUGUUAUCACGGGAGACACACGGCGGGUGCUAACGUCCGUCGUGAAGAGGGAAACAACCCAGACCGCCAGCUAAGGUCCCAAAGUCAUGGUUAAGUGGGAAACGAUGUGGGAAGGCCCAGACAGCCAGGAUGUUGGCUUAGAAGCAGCCAUCAUUUAAAGAAAGCGUAAUAGCUCACUGGUCGAGUCGGCCUGCGCGGAAGAUGUAACGGGGCUAAACCAUGCACCGAAGCUGCGGCAGCGACGCUUAUGCGUUGUUGGGUAGGGGAGCGUUCUGUAAGCCUGUGAAGGUGUACUGUGAGGUACGCUGGAGGUAUCAGAAGUGCGAAUGCUGACAUAAGUAACGAUAAAGCGGGUGAAAAGCCCGCUCGCCGGAAGACCAAGGGUUCCUGUCCAACGUUAAUCGGGGCAGGGUGAGUCGACCCCUAAGGCGAGGCCGAAAGGCGUAGUCGAUGGGAAACAGGUUAAUAUUCCUGUACUUGGUGUUACUGCGAAGGGGGGACGGAGAAGGCUAUGUUGGCCGGGCGACGGUUGUCCCGGUUUAAGCGUGUAGGCUGGUUUUCCAGGCAAAUCCGGAAAAUCAAGGCUGAGGCGUGAUGACGAGGCACUACGGUGCUGAAGCAACAAAUGCCCUGCUUCCAGGAAAGCCUCUAAGCAUCAGGUAACAUCAAAUCGUACCCCAAACCGACACAGGUGGUCAGGUAGAGAAUACCAAGGCGCUUGAGAGAACUCGGGUGAAGGAACUAGGCAAAAUGGUGCCGUAACUUCGGGAGAAGGCACGCUGAUAUGUAGGUGAAGUCCCUCGCGGAUGGAGCUGAAAUCAGUCGAAGAUACCAGCUGGCUGCAACUGUUUAUUAAAAACACAGCACUGUGCAAACACGAAAGUGGACGUAUACGGUGUGACGCCUGCCCGGUGCCGGAAGGUUAAUUGAUGGGGUUAGCGCAAGCGAAGCUCUUGAUCGAAGCCCCGGUAAACGGCGGCCGUAACUAUAACGGUCCUAAGGUAGCGAAAUUCCUUGUCGGGUAAGUUCCGACCUGCACGAAUGGCGUAAUGAUGGCCAGGCUGUCUCCACCCGAGACUCAGUGAAAUUGAACUCGCUGUGAAGAUGCAGUGUACCCGCGGCAAGACGGAAAGACCCCGUGAACCUUUACUAUAGCUUGACACUGAACAUUGAGCCUUGAUGUGUAGGAUAGGUGGGAGGCUUUGAAGUGUGGACGCCAGUCUGCAUGGAGCCGACCUUGAAAUACCACCCUUUAAUGUUUGAUGUUCUAACGUUGACCCGUAAUCCGGGUUGCGGACAGUGUCUGGUGGGUAGUUUGACUGGGGCGGUCUCCUCCUAAAGAGUAACGGAGGAGCACGAAGGUUGGCUAAUCCUGGUCGGACAUCAGGAGGUUAGUGCAAUGGCAUAAGCCAGCUUGACUGCGAGCGUGACGGCGCGAGCAGGUGCGAAAGCAGGUCAUAGUGAUCCGGUGGUUCUGAAUGGAAGGGCCAUCGCUCAACGGAUAAAAGGUACUCCGGGGAUAACAGGCUGAUACCGCCCAAGAGUUCAUAUCGACGGCGGUGUUUGGCACCUCGAUGUCGGCUCAUCACAUCCUGGGGCUGAAGUAGGUCCCAAGGGUAUGGCUGUUCGCCAUUUAAAGUGGUACGCGAGCUGGGUUUAGAACGUCGUGAGACAGUUCGGUCCCUAUCUCGCCGUGGGCGCUGGAGAACUGAGGGGGGCUGCUCCUAGUACGAGAGGACCGGAGUGGACGCAUCACUGGUGUUCGGGUUGUCAUGCCAAUGGCACUGCCCGGUAGCUAAAUGCGGAAGAGAUAAGUGCUGAAAGCAUCUAAGCACGAAACUUGCCCCGAGAUGAGUUCUCCCUGACUCCUUGAGAGUCCUGAAGGAACGUUGAAGACGACGACGUUGAUAGGCCGGGUGUGUAAGCGCAGCGAUGCGUUGAGCUAACCGGUACUAAUGAACCGUGAGGCUUAACCUU